GUGACUCAGAGGGAUCUGAUUGCCAUCCACAAAUAUUUCAGAGAGGUUAAACAUAUGGGUGGGGAGGAACUACUCAGGAUAACAAGGGAAAGGAAGCAACAUGAUUACAGACAAUUUGGGUUGAACUGCAGGCAUAUCUUCUCAAUAGCAUGACUGGUUAGACUGUGGAGCAAUUUGCAAGUGAGACGGUGGUGGUUUCAGCAUUUUGUCCCUUUACUUCCAGAUGGGGAAAACAUGUGGUGAUGAAUAAUCCUAUUGUAGAAAUAGAUGGACUUCACAGAUUUUCCACAAGCUGUUUCUUUUGUGCUUUCAAGCUUCUGGGAUCUCAAGAUGAAAAAGACCAGCAUUUCACUCCAAAAUCUGGUGUCCUUAACCAUCAAAGGUUUACAAAGCACCUCCAAUUAAACCUGGGAGAAGUCUGGAAGAUUUCUGUCUGGAAGACAAAAUGUGAUUACAGUCUAGCAGUUAUGUAAAUGAGAGCAAAGCAGGGCAGAAACUGCCAUGUUGUAUAAUUCAUGAUAAUUGUAAUUCACGCUGCUGGAUAAGUGCUUAAUAUUAAACAAUUGAAGAAAUAUAGGUGAGACCAGCAGAACAAAUUUUCUGGAAUAAAAUGUGCUCCCAGGAAGAGCACAGAGAUGUGUUCUGUCCCAGCCUGUUUGUCUCAGCACUCCUGGAGUACAGGCAGCACAAAAGAGGUCAUAGAAUAGAAUGAGGACAUGGCACAGAAAAAAAAAGCAUUGAGUAUCUCUACAGCAUGCAAAAACACAGUCACCGAGGGACAACAAGAGAAACAGAAGUUCAGAAAUAAGAUGGAGGUAAAGUGCAAAAAUGCCAAAAGAGGCUCUGACUGGAAAAAGCAGCAUCUGUGCAGAUUGAUGGUGUGGGGAAAGGAAAAAGCUAGAAACCAAGGUGAAGAGAUGUUACAGUGAUCAAAGUGAAAAGAUGAAGAGCUGGAUAAAGAUUCUUAAAGUAAACUCAGAAAGGUUGCAACAGUAUGGGCACAGAUUCCAGGUUUCCUUCAUCGUUUCCUCUCUCCCACUCAAAGCCUUUGAUGGCUCACAAACACAAACUAUACAGAACCAUCAGCCCCUGCACAAAGCUAGCCUCUGAUACAGGGCAGUUCUUGUUGGGGAAGCAAUGCAAAAUCUGAUGUUAUUGGCAGAAAUUGGGGGGGAACAGUUUCCAUGUGGUCUUGGUUUCUCAGAGGCCAUGCAAUACGCUUAUAUCUCAAGCACCAUUUACAUGGAAGGUACUUGAUAUUACUGAAGUUCAAAGCAAAAACUGGCCUUGUGAUGUUGUAGGAAACUGGAGAGAGAAACUGAAUGUUAUAUCCCAAAGCAAAACAGAGGAAAAGAGGAAAGAGGAAAAUCUAUCCUUUUGUCUACUCCUCCUGAUGAAAUGACAUCUUAUUAUAGCAGGAGCAACGUGCAGUGUUGUCUGCUUUGUGUCUCUCACCAGCAAAAGCUGAAAAUGAUUGUGACCCUUUGAGAUUGCAGACUUUGCAAUUAGCCAAAUGCAAAAAGGACUGGAAGCCCUCAGCCUUAGGAAAUAAGAAGAGAAGCCUUCCAUCUGCCUCACGCCUUUGUUGCACAUACCUUUUCAUUUCAGGCCUUCUUUAAUCCAACAGAGUAGCCUACAAAAUACAUCUCCAUUCUACCUCCUCUUUCAAGAAAAAUCUCUUGAUGAUUUUUUCUUGUUCUUUAUCUCUGAUCACUCCGAUUGUAUUAUAUAUUUUUUUCCUCUUCCUUAGGCUUUAAGCUCAUUUCUCCUUUAUCUAUACCCUUCAGUUCCUUUUCUCCUAUCUACGUAAUGUACCAGUUUCUCUCUUUGAAACAAAGAUAGAAGUUCUGAGACAAAGGCAGGCUUUUCAAGUUCGUGGAUUUGUAUAAAUCUGUACAAAUUCUCUCUCUGAUUUUGGGUACUUUUUGUAUUAUCAAUUCACUUUGUAAACUAUUUAAAGACAUACAUAAAUUAGGUAGUAUGGUAAAUAUUAUUACAUUUUUUGGGUCGUGCCUAAAGCAAAAGAAAACUUGAAUUUCAACAAGCUUAAGAGAAAUUGUACAAUUAUCUUUAAUUAUUGAAUUACAUCAGUAAAUACAGUCCAUAGAUUCCUUCCACCGUCUUCAAACUCCCAUGUCAGCACUCUAGAAUCCAAAGAUGGGAAAUCAGUUCUAUUCAUUAUUGUUCGGCUUUAGUCUUUUAAGGCUUUAGCACUUUGUACCAAACAAAGAUAUCUCCUGAUGGUGCAGUGAAUACUAUCCAAUAUCUUGAAGAAUGUGUUCUCCAUUACUCCUUUUCUUCAACCAGGUAGUCAUCUUUUCUUCAAAAGCAUAGGUUAGUUUCUUUGGAAGAGACUCAAAAGGAGAUUUAUGGAAGAUGCACAUGAGAAAAUGUAGACGGUUAAUACAUAUAUAUAUGUACAUCAGCAACUAUAUAUAAUAAAAGAAUUUUCACUGUAACAAAGCAAAUUUUCAGUGGAAGCAGAGAUACCACCACUUGUCAGCUAUGAUUUAUACAGAACUGAGAAACAUUUAGGGAUUCCUGGCAUUUGUUUCAAAUGCCCGGGGCAACUGUUAAUUGAUUUUCACUUAAUUUUCCGUAUGAGCUCCUACACUAGUUCAAGUAGAGUCAGAAUGUGGCCACUAGGGUUUCUCCUUCAGUGUGCAGGAUCAAAACUAAUUUUAUUACCUAUCCAAAUAAAGAGGAACUCAAGAAAAAAAAGGAAAAAAUAAUUACCAACAGUUAGAAGAACAGUCAAUUUUCUGAAAUGAUAAUUUUAGGUAAAGUUCACUUCUACUGUAAAUGCAGUUCACUCCUCUUUUCCUGUGUUAAUUACAUUACUUGCAGAGCACAAUAUUAAUUGCAUUAGAAGAUCAGAAAUGUAGUUCAUUCCAUAUAACACAAUGCAUCUGAAUAGUCCUUUCUGUGUUCAUCACAGACGUGUAUGUCCCACUGAAAUACUUUGGGCAGGACAUUCUUCCUCCUUUUCACUUGUAUUGUGGCCCACUGUAUUGUGGCUACAGCAGGAGGAGCAUCAGCAGUGUCUGUCCCCAGAGACUGAUGAAAAAAUGUAUUUUUUUCCUUAUCUGGAGUAUAACAGGCCUUAGCAGUUGAACAGGUUCUUUGAAUUUAAUUAACUGAAAGCCCUGUAGUAAAGCAGAAUAACUUCCAGUUGACCCGACUGAAGAACAGUCUUGUUCAUGAGCAUUUGAGCUAAAGUCCUCGUGCUCAUGCAAAUUACUAUCCACAUAAUAAAAAUGUUUUAUGCAUGUAUUAUGAUGGAAUAAAUGAAAACUGGGAGCAGUAAACUUCAAAACUAAACCUCAAAGCAGCUUUACCAUAGAGCUGUUACAGAUUGCUCUGGAUAAACAAAAUUGCAGAUUUCACCUAAAAAGCAAGAUGCAGCAUUGCCCUGUAGCUACUCUGAACUCAAUGAGUGGGUUCUUUGGAUUUGCUUUUCUUCUUUUACUAGUGCUAGACCCAAAGCCAUUUAUUCUCAAACAUGAUCCUCAGAAAAUACAUCUUUGUUAAAAACAGUGUCGAAAUGACAAUGUGGGACAGGCGAGUCUGUCUCUAUGUAAAAAAUUUGGCAUAACGGUGCUGUACAAUGGUGCUAUUGCAAGAGCAAAGGGAGAUGGGAAGGGAGGAAAUAAGAGCUUCCCUCAGAACCCUCCUUUUUGUCUGUCAGCCUGAAUGGGAACAAAACAAUCCUGAAAAUACUGAGAUAUCUGACAUUUUCUGGCUUCUGAAGGGGCAGCAUCAGCAGUGCCGGACCAUGAAAGUGAUUCCCAGUUAAAAUAUUAGAAACAUGGGUUUACAACAAUCUGAGAUAUUUCAAUAUCAGCAAGGAUCUUAAUUUUCCACACAAAGAAGUUUUUGAGAUUGUUCAAAACAUACAUCCAUUAAUACCCAACCCUCCUUAAUUAUUUCAGCUUCUGCAGAUAUAAAUUGCAGUCCUCCACUAUUAUCUGUUAAUAAAUGCACACAUUUACUCACAGCAACAUCUGGGUUUCACUGAAAAUCCUGUCCCCUUUUGUUGGCCCGAGGGAAGAUGAAGAGGUGCUCUUGAUUUUGUGCUGUGACAGCAGGACAUUUCAGACCGCUUUAUUC
Long non-coding RNA from Gallus gallus (chicken), 4110 nucleotides. The record is from Ensembl. NCBI's taxonomy places the organism in Eukaryota, Metazoa, Chordata, Aves, Galliformes, Phasianidae.